This 633-nucleotide ribosomal RNA is filed under the name uncultured bacterium. RNAcentral's name for it is "bacterial SSU rRNA". It matches the Rfam family "Bacterial small subunit ribosomal RNA", at positions 159 to 809 of the family's 1533-position model. The record is from RNAcentral.
ACUGCUAACACCGCAUAAGCGCACAGGGCCGCAUGGCCCGGUGUGAAAAACUCCGGUGGUAUGGGAUGGGCCCGCGUCUGAUUAGCCAGUUGGCGGGGUAACGGCCCACCAAAGCGACGAUCAGUAGCCGACCUGAGAGGGUGACUGGCCACAUUGGGACUGAGACACGGCCCAAACUCCUACGGGAGGCAGCAGUGGGGAAUAUUGCACAAUGGGGGGAACCCUGAUGCAGCGACGCCGCGUGAGCGAAGAAGUAUCUCGGUAUGUAAAGCUCUAUCAGCAGGGAAGAAAAAUGACGGUACCUGACUAAGAAGCCCCGGCUAACUACGUGCCAGCAGCCGCGGUAAUACGUAGGGGGCAAGCGUUAUCCGGAUUUACUGGGUGUAAAGGGAGCGCAGGCGGCGCGGCAAGUCUGAUGUGAAAGCCCGGGGCUCAACCCCGGGACUGCAUUGGAAACUGUCGCGCUCGAGUGUCGGAGAGGUAAGUGGAAUUCCUAGUGUAGCGGUGAAAUGCGUAGAUAUUAGGAGGAACACCAGUGGCGAAGGCGGCUUACUGGACGACAACUGACGCUGAGGCUCGAAAGCGUGGGGAGCAAACAGGAUUAGAUACCCUGGUAGUCCACGCCGUAAACGA